This 263-nucleotide ribosomal RNA is filed under the name uncultured Staphylococcus sp. RNAcentral describes it as "partial 16S ribosomal RNA". It matches the Rfam family "Bacterial small subunit ribosomal RNA", at positions 99 to 354 of the family's 1533-position model. Lineage: Bacteria; Bacillati; Bacillota; Bacilli; Caryophanales; Staphylococcaceae. The record is from RNAcentral.
CGGACGGGUGAGUAACACGUGGAUAACUUACCUAUAAGACUGGGAUAACUUCGGGAAACCGGAGCUAAUACCGGAUAAUAUAUUGAACCGCAUGGUUCAAUAGUGAAAGACGGUUUUGCUGUCACUUAUAGAUGGAUCCGCGCCGCAUUAGCUAGUUGGUAAGGUAGCGGCUUACCAAGGCAACGAUGCGUAGCCGACCUGAGAGGGUGAUCGGCCACACUGGAACUGAGACACGGUCCAGACUCCUACGGGAGGCAGCAGAA